GGACUUCGGAUUGAGUGUUUCGCGGAACAGGCAGGGGUCAUAUAACAAAGAUCAGGGAAGCUAUAUGUUUUGGGUUCGUUCAACUGUGUAUAAGCUUCUAUUAUGAAUUUGGAUUGCCUUGCAAUGUGUUGCGAAAUUUGGGGAUUCCUAUUGAAAUUGACGGAUAUUUAAUCGCAUUUUCUACAUUGUGAAAUCGACAUUAGACGGUGAACUUGCCCCUGGCAUUGUUCGUUUGGUGUUCUUCAAGAUCCGGCACUUGCCACUUAUAUAUUGACUCUGCAGUGUAGGCCACACAACACAGAUUGCACAGGUGCUUGGCUGGAACAGAUCGUCUUUGAAUCUUCGUGUUCUUGCUCCUUGGUCUUCUGCUACACCUUUUCUCGAUCUCUCAUUCUCAUACCCUGCAACAUCACAGGAUCGAACACGAUAAAUUAUGCCUGAGAAGAAGGACAUUAUGAAAACCAUCACCACGGACAACAUCAGUCACACGAAUGUUGAUAAUAAUGACAGAUUAAACGCAAGGAAUAUGCAAAUAACACAGUCGGACUUGAGACGAAAUGAAGGAGAGGGAAACAUUGACAGCGUCCAACUCUCAAGACAGAACAGUAAAUCAGUCACCAAGAACGAACGGUCAAGCGCCAACUACGAUGGAUGGGGGCCAGUCUUUAAAUCAAGGCGGGAUUUCGUCGACAUGCAUCUCUUUUGAUUCAUCGAUUUUGACAACGAAGGCAAAUAAAAUUUAGCAAAAUAUACAUUUUAACAACAUCGUUUACAGCAAGACAAGUCUUAUGAAUAAAUAAAACUGCAUUUUUUCGGGGCAUGAUGCCACAAAAUAGGAAGGAUCUGGCGAUGUAGACCAAUUCGUACUGUCAUAUCGGAAUUGCUUCUACUUCUAGAAUGAAAAGAGCUUUAAAGAUGCAGAAAUCAGAUCUGACAUAAUAUUCAGAUGUGAUGUGAUGCUGACAACCAUCUAUAAACCGCAAUAUGACGUAGUUACUUGCCUGUGGGCUGAACUUUUCCUCGAUCUCAUUUCAUGGGGCCAUGUAUCAUUGAAAUGAAAUUAGUGAAAUAUAAUGGGACAAGUGCAUGUUCGUGUAUUAGAGAAUUAUUUUGACCUUUUAAAAAAAAUUGUACUAAUUGAAGGUAAGUUUGAAGAAAACGAUGUAUAAAUUUAAUCGCACAGUAUUUUAAUCUUUUUGACACAAUGUACAUGUAAAUAUUUCAAUGUAUUUGCCUAUAUUAGGCGUUUUUUUAUGCCAACUUGAUCUUUUUAGAAAUAUUAUUUUAACUGCUGUAAGAUUAGUUAUUUCUGCCAAAGGCUAUGGACCAAAUGAUAGGACAAGUCAUUAGGCCUAUAUUAUAUUGCCUUCCAACAAAUAAAUAUUGUUUUUGUCAAAGUUAAUUUAAGUACUGAUAUUAUAUGCCAUUAUAUAUCCCAUAAUAAUUUGCUGCAAAAAUAAUUUAAUGUUGUGUUCAAUGCCAUGGACUCCAUUAUUUUAAUUGCUAAAAAUAUAUGUACAGUAUAAGCAGGGAAUCCCUGGUAUAAGACAAUGACAAUAAAAGAAUAGUUUUUAGUUGGGGAAAGAAGCGUGUACAUUUUUAGGAAAUUUGCAACAAUUAAAUACAUUAUCUACAUUCCCCAAAGCUUUUCAACAAAGCUUUUUUUAUGGAUUCAGCCGAAUUAGAUAGGCAAUUUCUGUAAUGUGAAAAAAUUGAUUCACCGUAAUUUAGAAUAUUUUACCAAAUAUUUGCAAUAGUUGAAAUAUCUUGAAGGUUUACUCUAAUUUACGCAGUUUUAAUGUUUUAAGAUGUAUAUAGCAGUCAUAUUGUUGUCACACACAGUAAGGUUGUACAACGGAUAGGAUUUUUAUCAAAUAUUUUGUUUACAAAAUCGAUGAUUCGAAGUAGUGCUAAGUUUUUAUUCAAAGAAAUAGUUUUACUUUUGAGUGACGAGUAAAAAAAAGUGCUCAAUACCUGUAGUUCCAUUUUAUUUUUCAAUCGCAAUAGGCCUAAAAAAAUACUGAAAAUGAAGAAUUUAUUAUCAUUCCAGAUUAAUCUAAGAGUUUAAUAUUUUAUCUUAACGGUGGUUGUGUUUGUGUUUAAUAUAUAAUUUUGCUUGUGUCUGAUGUUCUCGAUGUAAUUAAGCGCAACUUUCUCUGUUGAUCUAUUGUUGGAAAAGGGCUUCUUCAUGUACCUCUAUUAGUCCAAGGAGAUAUCUCCUUGAUUAGUCAAUGCCUACAUACAAGCAUUAGAUAAACAGCGCCAUCUUUGAUGAAAAUUGUACAACUUUUAAAGAAAAAAAUAUAUAGCAUUCAUCUUCAACGUCAUUUCCACAGUCAGCCCCUUCGGCAUCCACAUUAAUAAUUCUCGGAGCGUAAUUACUCAAUGGAUAUAGUUUAUAUUAUGAGAAUUAUUUUAAAACUAAAAAAAAAAGUUUAUUCACAAAUAGAUGGCUGAUUAUAUUUUCAUUUGUUUUGUAGUUGAACUGAAAUGGGAACGUCUUUUAAAAUAAUCUGUUUACAAUGUUCUAGCGGUGUUAAGAUUUCAGAAUGAAUGGAAUGAAUUACUAAUGAACGUUUUCUCGAUUCGUACACUAGCCCCUUAAAAAUACGAAAUGUGAAAUCAACAUUUGAAAGGCUGGAGGAGUGACACUCUUUCUAAAUGUUGCAUUUACCACUUUAAAUGGUUCGACCCAACACUUAAAAUGUUGAAUUCAGCUUUAUGCACUUGGUUAGAUGCAUGUAAAACAUUUGGAAAAGGUUGUCACUCCAACUGUAAAAAUGUUGAUUUAGCUUUUAAUUUUUAGAGUAUGUUUUUUAUUCAUUUCAUUAUGACUUGUUUACUUUCAUAUAGUCUUUCAAUGGUUCUGCCGAAGUAUUCGUAAUUGUCUCGAUGUAGGGUCUUUUUACCUUUAAUACGAUAUUUUUAGUCAACGUAUAACGCAGUAAACGGUUUAAAUUUCGUUAUCACGUCAGAGGCUGCCCCAGUUCCGAUUUUGUUUUCAAUAUUCCUCUCUUUCUCAAGACUGAUUAUCACUUAGACCGUCUUUAUGUCAAAAUUACGAAACAUCGGAAAGAUGUGAUUUCAGAUCAUUGCAUGUUAUUUUACUCAAAUUGUAAGUAAACUCUCCAAUUAGGGGUGUCCUUUAAUACUGAUUGGGCGAUGAUAUACUGGAGCUCAACUUCGGGCGUGGGCGAAUUUUUCGGAUUUUUUUUCUUUUCAUGACUGUAUACGCACUGUGAAAACUUCUUUCAAAUAAAAUAUACUGUAUACGAUGUGUUCCAAGACAAUGUAUUAUAACGUUUACACACGUGAAUAAACUAUAAAUUAUCCUAAUAUUACUUUUAUAUUCGUUAAUGAGUUCAUUUAUUUACAUGUUUUACAUUAAAAUAAGGGUGAUGUCGAACAGAAACCCAACCUACACUUGAAUACGAUUGCAUUUAUGAGCACCGAAAAUGCGGCAAUAAUAAUUCCAUUUGAUUCAUGUGGGGGGGGGGUUAAAAAAACAAGACUCGAAUCAUACAGCCGCUUUAUCCGCAAAACAAAAGCAAGGAAUCGACUUACGAAUUAUUCGAUCUAGGCAGCCCCAUUUCUUAAACUCAAAGAUCCAUUACCAUCAACAGAUAUAAUAUGAUUUAGAGAAAGUUUGCAGAAUCCCUCAUGCGAUUAUCCUUUAAAGAAAAGCAAAUGCAAAAUACACAAAUUAAUGAGUUUAAAAGAAUAAAUUACACUCACCUUAUUAUUCCCUUGUGGCGUGGUGACAAGAAUAGUUCACUCAUUAUUGUGAUUGGUAUUAAUAAUGGCCACAGGCGAUUAUCCCAAGAAUAAAGGGGGACGGUGGGCGGGGACAUGUCCCAGGGGGGUCGUCAGGUUAUCAUCCCCUCGGAUUUUAGAGCUUUAUUUUUAUUUUCGUUUACUCUAUGUGCAACAUGAAAUAUGAACCAAUCACUUCUAUAUGAUUAUGUUUUUCGACGAAGAGUCUAUUUUUGUAGUAAAAAUAACUAACUUUUUUUCAAUUUUAUUUCGCGACAUUUUUAAACUAACACAAAAUCUAACACCGAAACCUCAAAUGCAGAUUGGGGCCGUGAUGUCUUGAUGCCCUCCCCCCCCCCCCCCUCAUUACAUAGAAUCGCAGCCACUGAUAAUGGCUGUGUCCUCGAGGUUAUCAAUGAUUAUAUUCCUUGUGAGACCAAUUGAAAUUGAGUAAACAACAUAUUAAGAGAAAGCACCGGGCGAUGAAGAUAUAAGUUGUAACAUAAGGGAAUAGAUAUAAUGAAUGCCGAGGCGUUGAUAAUGAAUGACCCAUCAUUAUAUCCAACGAAUUGAGCGCCACUAUUUACAUUAUUAUUACCCAUCUUCAUCACCACAAUAACGUCAUCUUCGUCAUCGUCGUUUUCAUAACGGUCCAUAGGAAGCAAAACAGACUGAAAACAUAAAUGAUAUAAUUUUUCUAUGGGUUCCUGUGACGAUGAAUCGAUUCAUGACAUAAGUGAUUUUUAAGUAAUAUAAUCAUCGUAAUCAGUCUAAUUAGCAUAAUGAGCUAAUUAGUAUAAGUGUAAUAUAUAGGUAUUUGCGAAAGUCCAUCCAGAAAACCCCCAAAUCUUUGAUAAUACUGCUCCUUAUGGUUUUCUAUGGCGAGGAAUUCAUUUAUGACAUCAUUGUUUUUCCACUUUAACCAAUGAUAUCAUUGUAAUUAAAAUUAGCAUAAUGAGCUAAUGAGCAUAAUAUGUGCAAUAUGUAUAUUUUAUCAAAGUACUGUCUAUAACGGCCAGAAAACAUAAAUUAUGCAUCUAUUCUAUGGUGACGAGGCAUUCAUUAUUUUAUGACAUUACUUUUCGCUUUUGAUCAAUGUAGGCAUUGUAAUUAACAUAAAAGCUAAUCAACAUAUAAUACUGCUCUUCUAAUGCUUUCUAUGUUGAGGAAUUGAUUUAUAACACCUAAUUUCCCUUUUAACCAAAGACAAUUUCUUAAUCAGAAUAAUCACCAUAAUUCACUAAUAAACAUCUAUGUGCAAUAUAUAAAUAUAUAUAUUCCUUUGUUAUUUUAUAUCAGGAAUGAAUGAAAACAUGAAUAAUACAGCUAUCCUCUUGUUUUGUAUGACGAGGAAAUCAGUAUGACAUUAUUUUUUCCCUUUGAAUAAAAGUAGGCAUUGUAAUUAGCAUAAUUGGCAUAAUGCGCAAUAUAAAAUAUUUUUUCUGUCACUGCAUUGCCUAAAACGGCUUGAAAACAUCUGAUAAAACAGCUUUUCUAAAGUUUUCCACGACAGAGAAUUCAUUUAUGACUCGAGUUUUCAUUUUUUUAUUUAAUGUUAUAGUUUUAAUGAACAUAAUCAGCAUAAUGCACUAUACGUUUUUUCUUUAAAAAAUACGUUUUUUUUUUAAUCGUAAUUUAUUGAGAAAAAUCAUCUUUAUAUGUCUCUAUUUCAUAAAACUUACACAAAUAUGGUUAUUAGAUCAAUGUAAUUUCAGGUAACUUGUUUUUUUUCAAUCAAUUUGUUAAAACCAGGGUGAGAUAUACAUAUGUUUAAAUGUUUUUUUUUUCAUCUGCAAGAGCAGUGCGCAUUUUAGCUUGCAUGCAGCUUGAGCGCCGCGAUGAGUGAGUGCGCCACGUAUUUUAUUGUUUUAAUUAUGAAAAACACUUUAUGGGGGAAAAUACGCUUUUUUCUAUCACAUAAUACACUUUUUCAUUCCCAGAGGUUGGCAGGUCUGAUUUAGGCUUUUCCAAAGAUUCUCCUUUUCCAUUAUCAACCUUUUGUAAAUAAUUAACAUUUUGUAUGCAUUAGUGUUAAUAUGUAAAUAUGUGUAUGUACAUGUGCAAUGUUUGAAAUAAUUGUGUGAAUAUAUUUUUAUGAGAAUGGAAUAAAUAAAUGAUCAAUAAUAAAACAAUUGUCAUUAAUCGAUUCCAU
This is a long non-coding RNA of Lytechinus pictus (painted urchin), 5905 nucleotides long. RefSeq lists it as uncharacterized. The record is from RefSeq and is a predicted model, not a curated record. The transcript is spliced from 3 exons. NCBI's taxonomy places the organism in Eukaryota, Metazoa, Echinodermata, Echinoidea, Temnopleuroida, Toxopneustidae.